UCCGGUUGAUCCUGCCGGAGGUUACUGCUAUCGAGGUUCGACUAAGCCAUGCGAGUCAAAUGUAGCAAUACAUGGCGUACUGCUCAGUAACACGUGGACAACCUACCCUCCGGACGGGUAUAAACCCGGGAAACUGGGUAUAAUCCCCGAUAGAUCUCGGUCGCUGGAAAGCCCCGAGAUCGAAAGCUCCGGCGCCAGAGGAUGGGUCUGCGGCCUAUCAGGUAGUAGUGGGUGUAGCGUACCUACUAGCCUACGACGGGUACGGGUUGUGAGAGCAAGAGCCCGGAGAUGGAUUCUGAGACACGAAUCCAGGCCCUACGGGGUGCAGCAGGCGCGAAAACUUUACAAUGCCGGCAACGGCGAUAAGGGGACCUCGAGUGCCAGGUUACAAAUCUGGCUGUCGUGAUGCCUAAAAAGCAUUGCAUAGCAAGGGCCGGGCAAGACCGGUGCCAGCCGCCGCGGCAACACCGGCGGCUCGAGUGGUAACCGUUAUUAUUGGGUCUAAAGGGUCUGUAGCCGGCCGGAUAAGUCUCUUGAGAAAUCCAGCAGCUCAACUGUUGGGCUUUCAGGAGAUACUGUCUGGCUCGAGGCCGGGAGAGGUGAGAGGUACUUCAGGGGUAGGGGUGAAAUCUUGUAAUCCUUGAAGGACCACCAGUGGCGAAGGCGUCUCACCAGAACGGACCUGACGGCAAGGGACGAAAGCUAGGGGCACGAACCGGAUUAGAUACCCGGGUAGUCCUAGCCGUAAACGAUACUCGCUAGGUGUCGGCCACGGUGCGACCGUUGUCGGUGCCGUAGGGAAGCCGUGAAGCGAGCCACCUGGGAAGUACGGCCGCAAGGCUGAAACUUAAAGGAAUUGGCGGGGGAGCACCACAACGGGUGGAGCUUGCGGUUUAAUUGGAUUCAACGCCGGAA
This 915-nucleotide ribosomal RNA is filed under the name uncultured archaeon. RNAcentral's name for it is "bacterial SSU rRNA". It matches the Rfam family "Archaeal small subunit ribosomal RNA", at positions 1 to 923 of the family's 1478-position model. The record is from RNAcentral.